Molecule: non-coding RNA, 102 nt
Filed under: fish gut metagenome
Source: RNAcentral
UGCUGACAACGAGCUUUGGUUAAGGUUAAACAAAUCAAACCGCGACCAUAGCGAGCCAUGAAGUUAAUGGCCUCAGGCGUGACAUGAUCCGCUGCAAUAAUU